ACAAUAUGGUACAUCCAAGUAUGUUAACUAGGGAAGAAAUUGAAAAAUACGAGAUUGAUUUUUACAAACUAAAAUUAUCAAAAGUAGGAGUAGUAGUAUACAGAAACGAUACAAUAAUAUUUGCAAUUCAGAUACCAAGAACAUUUUUUCAAACUAAGAUUCAAUUAAUAACCCCAAUGCCAAAUAGAAAUAAAUUACAAAUUAUUGAAAAAGAAAAAUUCGUUAUAAAAAUUGGCGAAAACUAUUUUGAUUAUGUAGAAAAUAAAGCAUUUAAAAAUCUAAAAUUGAGUAAAAGCUGCAUAUUUUCAAAUACUUGCGAAUUUAAAUAUAAUAACAAAACAUCAAUACAAGAAAUAAGCGAUGACACAAUAUUAAUAAGAAAUGCAAAAAAUGAUGUAAUAAAACAAAACUGCGAUGACAGAAAAAUUGUAUUAAAAAAUAACUAUAUAAUCAAAUUUGUAAAUUGUAAAAUGGAAAUUUUAAAACAAGAAUUUAAAAAUAAUAAAACAGAAUAUAUUCAUACAAUUAUAUACCCUGCCGAAAAAUUAAACCAAAGUUACACACCAAAAUUAACAUUCAAUGAUAUUGCAAUAAAAAAUAUAGAAAACAUAAAAGAAAUUGCAGAAUUAAAAUACCAUAAAAAUGUAUCAUAUGGUAUUAAUAUAUCAUUGAUAAUCAUUGUAAUGGUAGUAGUAGCAAUCCUAUUAAUAAUAUUAAAGAAAAAAACAACAAAAAUAAAAAUUGUAAAUACAAGAACUCAGGAGAGUUCAAACAGUAACGCUGGGGGAGUUGCGUCGUCAAACGACUCCACCACUGUCAAACUCGUCGACACACAAAAAAAGACAAGUAUUUUUUAAAUAUUUUUAUUUCUCUGAAAUGUAAGUUGAAUCUUCAGAUUCAACUACAUACAUAUGUACAUAUAUAAGAUAUGCCGGGUCGUUGAUGCUGAGGAAUGUCAAGUCAGCACAACGGCUUCAGGUAAAUUUAGGAAAUAAGAUUUUUGUAAAGAAUAAAAUGAUGAUUAAUAAACUGGACGGCAAGCCGCUCAGUACGGUAAA
This is a long non-coding RNA of Bactrocera neohumeralis, 1058 nucleotides long. RefSeq lists it as uncharacterized. Lineage: Eukaryota; Metazoa; Arthropoda; Insecta; Diptera; Tephritidae. The transcript is spliced from 2 exons. The record is from RefSeq and is a predicted model, not a curated record.